AGCAGCCGCGGUAAUUCCAGCUCCAAUAGCGUAUAUUAAAGUUGUUGCAGUUAAAAAGCUCGUAGUUGAAUUUCGGGAUUGGCGCAUCGGUCGUGCCUCACGGGGUAUGAACUGGUGCAGUCAAUUUCUCACCUUCUGGAGAACCGCGAUGUCCUUAAUUGGAUGCCGCGGGGAACCAGGACCUUUACUUUGAAAAAAUUAGAGUGUUUAAAGCAGGCAUUUUUGCUUGAAUACAUUAGCAUGGAAUAAUAAAAUAGGACGGCAUAGUUCUAUUUUGUUGGUUUCUAGGACCACCGUAAUGAUUAAUAGGGAUAGUUGGGGGCAUUAGUAUUCAAUUGUCAGAGGUGAAAUUCUUGGAUUUAUUGAAGACUAACUACUGCGAAAGCAUUUGCCAAGGAUGUUUUCAUUAAUCAAGAACGAAAGUUAGGGGAUCGAAGACGAUCAGAUACCGUCGUAGUCUUAACCAUAAACUAUGCCGACUAGGAAUCAGACGAUGUUAAUUUUUUAAUGACUCGUUUGG
This 520-nucleotide unclassified non-coding RNA is filed under the name uncultured Entrophospora. RNAcentral's name for it is "SSU rRNA". It matches the Rfam family "Eukaryotic small subunit ribosomal RNA", at positions 569 to 1083 of the family's 1831-position model. Lineage: Eukaryota; Fungi; Glomeromycota; Glomeromycetes; Entrophosporales; Entrophosporaceae. The record is from RNAcentral.